GAUUUGAUUCACAACUUGGAAAAUCACAGAGCAACAAUAUUUUUGUGAAUACAAAUUCCUCAUGUUUAAAGUAAUCAAAUACCUGAUUGGUCAAAAGCUUCUCAAUCACCAUUUGUCAGCAUUGCCUGCAAUUUUCAUAUUUUUAUGCAAUCAGGUGGUGUUUUUUUUUUUUUUUUUUCUUUUUUGUUUUUUCUUUUGUAUGCCAUAGGUUGCAUUGUUGGACAAGGGGCUAUGAUAUUGACGUUUUCAAACUUUAUAUAUUGACAAAUUCAGUCUUUGCAUAAUCUAUAUAACACAAUGAAUUCACAAUUAGCAGGGGCUGAGCAACUCUCUGAUUACCUCUUAAAACAGAUGGAUGUGCUUAAUAUAGAGCAUCAUUGGAAUGUGAAACGGGUUUAUCUAGUGUCAAUUGUAGAGGAAUCAUUCUAUCCUCUUCUUCUUCUUCUUCUUUUUUGGGUUAGUUUCAGUCUUCUAUGAUUACUUUGUCGACUCUAUGAAUGGUUCAUUGCUUUCCGUAUUCUAUCGUUUCCACAUGCUUCUCUCUUAGUAGUUAGUUACUUGGAGUUCUGCAACAAUUUACUUUUUGUGGACAAGUAUAGUAGUAGGGAGUACUAUGUUAAAAUGCUCUAGGCCAUGGUCAAAUAAUUUCUUAUGUUAUUUGUAUUCUUUACUUCUCACAGUUAUGCAUGACUUGCGACUAAUUCACACAGAUCUGAAGUCGGAAAAUAUUCUUCUUGUUUUUGUAGAAUAUGUGAAGAAGGCUUCCUUCUACAAAUGUUCAAUCACUUGACAUAAAUGCACUGUAGUUCUAGAAAUGAGAAGGUAUUCCAUUCAUAUGAGUUUUUAGACCAUUUCCACCUUUUUGUCUAGAGAAUUCCACACUUGGAUGCUCAAACUACAUUUUUCUAUUGUUCUUAUUUUAACACAUUUGUGACUGCCAUUUUCAGAAAGCCUGCAUUUGGUAGUUUUCUAUGCUGAAGUUGGGCUAAAAGGCUUUCUUCACAUCAUAAUUUGUUGCAACUUGUUGACAGAUGUGUGAAGUCGUGCGGGAUGUUGCAAACUGUUUCCCAACAGCAAUAAUUAGUGGAAGAUGACGUGAUAAGGUACUGGAGCAAUUAGCUACUUUGCAUGGAAAAUGAUCCAAUUUCGGACCUGUUUAUCUAAGUUAUCGUGCAUUGCAUUUCCAUACACUUGGCAUGCAUGUACUGUUCAUCUGCUAGGCAUUGUCACGGAUGGCACAUGGCCCAAAUAUGCUAGUCAGUGCAUCAUAGCUGCCGAGUGGACUUUUGGGAUUACAAAUGUUCUGAAGACGGGUAUUGAUGCUGCCAAGUUCCUUGCAUAUUAAGAUAAGUUUACCAAAUUCAUUCUGUAAAUCAAAGCUUAAACACUCUGUAACUGAAUGUUCAAACUCAGAGUUGUUGGAUGGUUGUAAUGAAUUCUCUAUAUCUUGGAUCCCCAUUCGCAUUGAGUUUGUGUUAGCAUUAUCAUCUAUUUUGAAGUCCCUAGGCUAUUUUGACCCCUUUCCAUCUUGGUCACAUUCUUUUUUUUUUUUUUUUUUGGCUGACGUAUAUGUGGGGGCUAAUCCCUUCACUCUCAGUCUCUCAUACAAACUCUGCUAUUUGUAAUUGGCAUAUGGUGGUAUCAAUGGUUGCAGGACAAACUGUACAACUGCCCCAUUGUUCGAGGCAUUUGGAGGAGUGCCCUUUCAGUCAGGUCCAUAUGAGUCCAUCUAAAAAAAAUAAAAUAGGGGCAUGCAUUGGGUACAUCGCCGGUAUCAGUCAAAUACAUCCAAUACAACAUGGA
Molecule: long non-coding RNA, 1803 nt
Organism: Magnolia sinica
Lineage: Eukaryota; Viridiplantae; Streptophyta; Magnoliopsida; Magnoliales; Magnoliaceae
Exons: 3
Source: RefSeq, a predicted model, not a curated record